UACGUAGGGGGCUAGCGUUGUCCGGAAUCAUUGGGCGUAAAGCGCGUGUAGGCGGUCCGGUAAGUCCGCUGUGAAAGUCGGGGGCUCAACCCUCGGAUGCCGGUGGAUACUGUCGGGCUUGAGUACGGAAGAGGCGAGUGGAAUUCCUGGUGUAGCGGUGAAAUGCGUAGAUAUCUGGAGGAACUCCGGUGGCGAAGGCGGCACGCUGGACCUCUUCUGACGCUGAGGCGCGAAAGCCAGGGGAGCAAACGGG
Molecule: ribosomal RNA, 253 nt
Filed under: uncultured bacterium
Lineage: Bacteria
Description: partial 16S ribosomal RNA
Rfam family: Bacterial small subunit ribosomal RNA
Source: RNAcentral